Camelus dromedarius (Arabian camel) is the source of this 2373-nucleotide long non-coding RNA. RefSeq lists it as uncharacterized. The transcript has 3 exons. The record is from RefSeq and is a predicted model, not a curated record. NCBI's taxonomy places the organism in Eukaryota, Metazoa, Chordata, Mammalia, Artiodactyla, Camelidae.
GCCGCGCCACGCCGCCCGGGUGGGGGCGUGCAUGGCCCUGGUCGCCCGUCGGUCCGCCUGGGACUGGGGCGCGGCCCGGAGGCUCCCCGCCGGCUCCUCUCUGCUCCAGUAGCCCCUCCGCGCGACCCCGGGCGUUAGGCUGCCGAGCUGAGGCUCCGAGAGCAAAGCGAAUUGCAAAGCUCAUCUACAGCCAGAUUGACAGCAUAGUUUUUUAGGAAUCAAGAAUCAACUUUGGGCUAUUUCCUAAAAUUAAACCACGAAAGCCCUCUUGGAGUUUACACAGCCAUCUGCAGCACUUGAAUGUGAAAAAUGAUCUUCUUCCAUCAGAGAGAUCGCCCUCUUCAGCUAAAUCAUCAGAAGUGGUGAGAAGAAGAGACCCUACCCGACCAAACUCAUGCAGACAAAUUAAAUCCAGCUUUAUUUUUUUAAGCAAGGAAUGGAGUUGUACAGGGGUGGCCAGAUCACCGCACUGAUCGGUCCCCCUAGCACCUCCACCUCCAUGCAGGUUGUACCCAUGCAAGGCACUGGCUGAGGCAGCAAAUGGGAGUUGAAAUCCUGCUCAUGAUCCACUCACCAAGCCCAGUUGAUUGGUGCAUGGCCGUGUCUGCCCAGACGAUGUGGCUUCUUUUUCUAAUUUGCACCAGUGCACCCUGGUUGGGCUAGUGGCAAGUCUGACCAUCCCACUCCCAUAUCGCAGUCCUACCUGGAUUAUAUUCUUUGCCUCCGAUGGAUUCAAGAUUUUUAUGAACAAAUGACGUUUCUUGCAAAAGAUGAAAUAACUGACCCAAAUUGAAAUUGAUUUCAUAGGUAAAGCUCAGAAUAUGAUCAUAGAUAGGAAUUAUGUAUAUGUGUAUUUACAUAUGUAUGUAUGCACAGUUAUGUCUAUGUAUCAGAAGUUAGCAUGACUUAAAUUUGGUAAGUUUUAUUUUAAACUACUUUGGGUAUGGGAAUCAGUUUUAUAUAUGGAUUUCUGGACUUCACAGGAGUAUUUACUAUUUAAUUCCAUUUCAACAAAUACAUAUUAAGUGCCAGGCACUGUGCUAAUGUAUACAGUAAUGAAAAAUAAUACAAACACCCUGCCUGUAGGUAGUUACUAAUCUAGUAAGGAAGACAAAUGAUAAGGUCACAAAUAAACUUGUGAUUAUAAAUUACAGUAAAGGCUAUGAAAAGAAAUCCUAAGAUGGAAAAUAACAAGGCACAUUUAUUUCAGAUUAGGUGACUGGAAACAGCCUCCCUGUGAAAAUGACAUGUCAGCUGGGACCUGAGGGUGAGCUCGAAGGAGUUUAUGAAAUGCUGCCUCUCUGCCAUUUAAAGUUCAGAAAAAGGAAGGAAAUAAUGCCAUCUGCAGCAACAUGGAUGGAUCUAGAGAUUAUCAUACUAAGCGAACUGGUUGGCCAAUUUCUUGAAGACAGGAAGAUAUUUUAUACCCCCUACCAUGGAGCACACAUGAUAAACACUCGGUACAUAGCUGUGCACUGAUUUUCUCUGUUGAACCUCACCAUUGCUGUGAAGAAAGGGUCUGCACUUCUCAUUUAUUUAACUCUGCUGUCGCAUCUGGAGAAAUGUUAAUCAGCUGCAGCUUUUUCCUCCCUUGGCUGUAUGACUCAAUACUGUGUUGUCAUACUUCCCAAUUAGUAGCCGUUCCACAUGACUCAAAGGGAAAGAUGGAAAUGAGUCUCACCCAAGACAACAUAAAAGCAAAGAUAAUACAAUAAAUUAAGACUUCUGGUAAAACUACAAAGAAAAAGUGGGGAUUCCAAGAAACAUAGAUGUUCAGUUUUUUUACAAUUUAUUCCAAAUACUCCCUCAACUCCAUCACUUUUUUUUUUCCCUGCCAGAGGCUAUCUUCUGAAUGAAGGGGUGGAGGUACCAGGAUGGUCUUGGUGAGAGAUGGCUGUGAGGCCCGCUAUGAUAAUGUCACUACUAUGUGUGUGUCUUCUGGACCAUCCUUUGGAAAUUAUGCUGCUAUUAGCCAGGAAUCUUCUAGUAAUGCAAGAAUGUCAUGCACAAAGUAGGUCAUCUUGUUUAAAUUAGUAACACCCUGGCAAAACUAAAUCACUUGAUGAACGAAAUUAUUGCCAAGCAAGAGUAUUUCUGGUUAAUUUGCACUUAACUCAUUCAAAGGAUGAAGAUCCUUGAACUUCUUAGUCAAAUGGACCAAAAAUCAUCUAUCAAUUUAAAAUUUGGAAAGGAUACUAACACUCAUGUGGUCUACCAAGGCUAAGUCUUCUUUGUUUUCUGUAAUAUGCAAGGAGAAAAUUCAGUCUUGCAGUCAGAAGUCACAUUCUGAGGAAGCCAUUUUAUUUAAUUAUGUUUAAUUUUGCUCGUUUGAACUUUUGAAUAUUUUAUCCACAAAAUGCCAACAACUACUGC